CCACGUAAAUUUAUUACUGCAAAGCUUUCGAUCCGUAAGCCUGGAUCUUCAUCAGUGCUAUUAUUAUUAGCACAUAUCGAAAGCUUUGCAGUAAUAAAUUUACGUGGUGUUUCCA
Molecule: non-coding RNA, 115 nt
Organism: Paramuricea clavata
Lineage: Eukaryota; Metazoa; Cnidaria; Anthozoa; Malacalcyonacea; Plexauridae
Source: the annotation of a GenBank genome assembly